AGUGGACGCUGGCGGUAGGCCUAACACAUGCAAGUCGAACGGCAGCACAGUAAGAGCUUGCUCUUACGGGUGGCGAGUGGCGGACGGGUGGGGAAUACAUCGGAAUCUACUUUUUCGUGGGGGAUAACGUAGGGAAACUUACGCUAAUACCGCAUACGACCUACGGGUGAAAGCAGGGGAUCUUCGGACCUUGCGCGAUUGAAUGAGCCGAUGUCGGAUUAGCUAGUUGGCGGGGUAAAGGCCCACCAAGGCGACGAUCCGUAGCUGGUCUGAGAGGAUGAUCAGCCACACUGGAACUGAGACACGGUCCAGACUCCUACGGGAGGCAGCAGUGGGGAAUAUUGGACAAUGGGCGCAAGCCUGAUCCAGCCAUGCCGCGUGGGUGAAGAAGGCCUUCGGGUUGUAAAGCCCUUUUGUUGGGAAAGAAAAGCAGCAGGUUAAUACCCCGCUGUUCUGACGGUACCCAAAGAAUAAGCACCGGCUAACUUCGUG
RNAcentral lists this ribosomal RNA (492 nucleotides) under uncultured bacterium. RNAcentral describes it as "partial 16S ribosomal RNA". It matches the Rfam family "Bacterial small subunit ribosomal RNA", at positions 29 to 507 of the family's 1533-position model. The record is from RNAcentral.